GGUUGUGGCUUAGUGGUAGAGCACUUGCCUAGCAUGCAUGAUGAGGCCCUGGGUUCGAUCCUCAGUACCA
RNAcentral lists this transfer RNA (70 nucleotides) under Marmota marmota marmota (Alpine marmot). It matches the Rfam family "tRNA". From Rfam's summary of the family: Transfer RNA (tRNA) molecules are approximately 80 nucleotides in length. Their secondary structure includes four short double-helical elements and three loops (D, anti-codon, and T loops). Lineage: Eukaryota; Metazoa; Chordata; Mammalia; Rodentia; Sciuridae. RNAcentral also lists the same sequence under 2 other names. The record is from Rfam by way of RNAcentral.